GCAUCUAACAGUUUACAAAGCACCUAGAGUGUUUGCAAUAGUCAGUGAGAGAGACAUUAGUGUGUAGCCACUUGCCCAACUAUGAAAUGUCUUAGGAAGGUCCAUGCCUUCCCCCAUGUUCUUCCUGCAUAAUGAAUGUCCUGGUGCCGUCUCUCUUCACCCUGACCUCCGUGAUUCUGUUCUCUAACAGAUGCAGCUGUCUUCCCCUCAGUGCUGGCACUGUGAGCUGCCUUCCCUCUCAGUGCCCGCUCCCCAGAACUGAGAGGUGGCUUCUCAAUCGGCUUUACCCUGUCCACUUCCAGAACUGGAUCUGCUCAGGGUCUACAGAUGGUGCUAUUAAUAGAACUGGAAAGCAGCAAGAUUGUUGCAAAGGUUCCAACUGCCAGAUUCCCCUUAUCCAAACUGUGCAAACAGUGGGCCAGAAGCAAAGCCUAAGGGACCCAGGUGCAGUGACUGCCCUUGGUAAUAGAUCCUGGGUAACUCAUCCUCUACACAAGAGCUCUACCCAGACUCUCAGCUCAGCCAGCUAGGGAAAUGAAGUCCUGGACAGUCACAGGGUACCGAGAUCCAGACAGUUCAAGCAUCCAGCUGCUUGACAAACAGUGGCUGGGUGGACCAGCUUGUAGAGUCUCCAUGGGCCAAUCAAACCAGUGUGGAGGAAGCUGAUCUACUGGCUUCAUUCCUGAUCACAUCUGAGAAGUAUCUGUCUUCCAUACAUUCUAUCUGGAGUUUCAUUUUAUUUUUUAAAAAAUUUGCUUAAAACAGCAUGUUUUAUAAAAUAAAAAAUAUUUUUAUCUCAUUAGAAA
Molecule: long non-coding RNA, 806 nt
Filed under: Rattus norvegicus (Norway rat)
Lineage: Eukaryota; Metazoa; Chordata; Mammalia; Rodentia; Muridae
Description: long non-coding RNA NONRATT025456
Source: RNAcentral